GAUGAACGCUGGCGGCGUGCCUAAUACAUGCAAGUCGAGCGAAUGGAUUAAGAGCUUGCUCUUAUGAAAUUAGCGGCGGACGGGUGAGUAACACGUGGGUAACCUGCCCAUAAGACUGGGAUAACUCCGGGAAACCGGGGCUAAUACCGGAUAACAUUUUGAACCGCAUGGUUCGAAAUUGAAAGGCGGCUUCGGCUGUCACUUAUGGAUGGACCCGCGUCGCAUUAGCUAGUUGGUGAGGUAACGGCUCACCAAGGCAACGAUGCGUAGCCGUCCUGAGAGGGGGAUCGGCCACACUGGGACUGAGACACGGCCCAGACUCCUACGGGAGGCAGCAGUAGGGAAUCUUCCGCAAUGGACGAAAGUCUGACGGAGCAACGCCGCGUGAGUGAUGAAGGCUUUCGGGUCGUAAAACUCUGUUGUUAGGGAAGAACAAGUGCUAGUUGAACAAGCUGGCACCUUGACGGUACCUAACCAGAAAGCCACGGCUAACUACGUGCCAGCCGCCGCGGUAA
Molecule: ribosomal RNA, 515 nt
Filed under: uncultured bacterium
Lineage: Bacteria
Description: partial 16S ribosomal RNA
Rfam family: Bacterial small subunit ribosomal RNA
Source: RNAcentral